Molecule: long non-coding RNA, 3430 nt
Filed under: Sus scrofa (pig)
Lineage: Eukaryota; Metazoa; Chordata; Mammalia; Artiodactyla; Suidae
Description: lncRNA (ENSSSCG00030020995.1)
Source: RNAcentral
AAGGGACUCCUAGGUUCCACCCAGUGAGUCAGAGGACCCCAUAAAGACAGGGGAAUAGACUGCCCAUUAUAAGUGGACACUUUCCAGGAGGAUGCAUGAAGUCAGGCAGCUGUAGAUUGUCACUUAGCUGGAUGCCAAAACCAUAAAACAAGCUACUCAUAGAAUCAGGAGGUGGAUAUGCUCAUUGGACACAUGAGGUAAGGAUUGACCAACAGAGCCAGUACCAGACUCACAGCCCAUCACCAAUUUAUUCACAGUCUCUCUUCAUGCAAAUAUUCUUUGGCCUUUCUGACACAGAUUUAAGUCAGGUUUGAGAGUAGGAGGAAAAGGGAGUUUGGGAAAAGAGAUCAUGGAAAUGUUUGAAUAUGAUGGUAGUCACUCAGGGAACACUAGGUUUUAGUCUGGAAGUGACUGGAAAAACGGGAGUACAUUUAUAAAAUCACUACUGAUUGAGAUUGGGACCAGGUCAAAGAAAACCAAGAACAAUUCUAAAAUAAAUAUAUAAAGGAGUUUUAUAUUUACCCAUAGCUUAAUGUUGAUAGUAUAAUUUUGAGCUCUUAAUACCCAAUAAUGUACAUUGUAGUAGAGUGCUUUAUAAACAAAUACCUUAUUUGUCACUAAUAAAAUAGUAAUUGUGUUUCCGUGCUAAGAAAUAAAAUAUUCAAAUAUGUCUCCCUCUGAGAUUAAGUUUAGGUACUGUCUUGGCAGUUCAUUAAUGCUCCAGUAAUCUCUAAGGCCCGAAUACAGUUAUCACACAAACUUAUGAAUUAAGUCAUUCAUGAUAUGCUCACAACCAUCUGGCUCAUACCUUUGCAAUCUGAAAACAAAGUUAGAUACUGACAUUCCUCCUCCCAUUCUCAGUCUUAAAAUUGAAGCUUAGGAGUUCCUGUCAUGGCUCAGCAGAAAGGAAUCUGACUGGCAUCCAUGAGGACAUAGGUUCGAUCCCUGGGCUUGCUCAGUGGGUUAAAGAUCCGGCAUUGCUGUGAGCUAUGGUGUAGGUCACAGACACAGCUAGGAUCCCAUGUUGCUGUGGCUCUGGUGUAGGCCAGCAGCUACAGCUCAUAUUCAACCCCUAGCCUGGGAACCUCCAUAUGCUACAGGUAACUUGUGCCAUGUUCUGCCUGAUAUUUUAGGCAAUCAGAAAAUAUUAAUUAAUCCAGCACCAGAGGGAAGAACGAUAGCACAAUAUUUCCAGGAUCAUUUCCUGCCUGACAUCUUCAUAUUAAUCACUUUUUGCAUAUGUGUUGACUGACAUGAUUUCGAAACAAACCAAACUUUAUAAUUCUUGCCUUCAAAUUUGAGUUAUUUGUCAUUGAAGAUCGUAUCCCUAAAUUGUUAUUUCCAAACUGGAUUUUUUCGCCAUCUGUUGUAUGAAAAAAGAAGUGCGUAGAAGUCUACAAAUCUUUUUGGUUCAAAAUUGCAUGUUUCUCUCUAUCAUGACAGUUCCUAAGCUAUGUUCUGUCUCUUUUUAAGUCUAUUUCUGAUCUCUUGUUCCUGUUCAAAUUGAUCCUGCACAGGUCAGUCUGACCCAUAAAUGACACAAAAUUGUUUUUGAGGUUUGAAAUCUUAAUAUCAGAUAAUGUCUAAAUCCGCCAUGAAAUUUUGCUUCAUGCUUUUUGUUCCACAGUAAUUACCACCUUCAUCAUCAUAUUCAAGUUUUGGUAGAUUAAGCUGCUUUAAAAAAUACCGAGAGAAAACGUAUUUUUUAAACUACAUAGUUUAUUUUUAUUUUUUGGAAAUUGAUUACUGAUACUUACACCUAAAGGGAGACUUCCAUGAUUUUUAUUUUCUUCUUUAUCCAAAAAGAGAUGGCAUUGUUGUAAAUGCCUGUUGCUGAUGUAGGGUGCCCUCAAUUCUCAUUCUUGAACAUGAGCAACAUCUUCUAGGUUAGAAAAUUUCCCCAAUAUCUUCGAAUACAUGAAGUCAGUCAUUGAAACCCUUUCUUUAACCAUCAAGUGAGGAUGUGAUGGUCUGGUUAUCUCUAGGUUCGAAACUACAAAUUUAGCUUCUAAUCCAGUUUCCACUUAAUAUCUGAGUGACCUGGGACAUAUCAUUUUAACCUUCUGUGUCUUAUUUUAUGUUAUAAAAAUGAUGAUAUAAUAUCAGUCACUCAAAGUGUAUUAAAUUCAAUGAGUAAAAAAUGGCUGAAUUGUGGUUAGUAUUCCAAAACUUAACUUUUCUUCCUUUGCUUAUCUUAACUAUAGAACAUAUUUUAUGCCAGAAUCUAUCAACCUCAUAUUUAGAUGUGAUUUAUUUUUCCAGAAAUUCUUUGAACGCCUUGGUAUCAGCUUCUACCAAUGUCUGAAUGUUAAAAUUUUGCUCCAUGAGCAUCCAGGGCCCCGGAAUUUGUGUGAGGCAAGGACCCACAGAGCAAAGUUGCAGCCAAGAAAAUACUGUUUCUUCAGGCAUGACAUCUGUCCAGAUGUCACAGAUGCCUUUGAAUGAGUACUUCAUACCCACCCCCUAGGAAUACUAGAGCUGUCUCCCUACAGAGAAAGGAAAUCAAGUGCUAAGAGUCAGCAUAAUGUGUCCACAUAUGGACAGAUCCUCCAUUUAAAAAAAAAAAAUCUGGUUAAUCUAAAAUACAAUACAUAUCAACUAUCUAUGAAACAAAAAGAUGCACAGACAUAGAGAACAGACUUGUGGUUGCCAAGGAAUAGGGAGUUGGGGGAGGGAUGGAUGGGGAGGUUGGGAUUAGCAGAUGCAAACAUUAUCUAUAGAAUGGAUAAACAGCAAGUCCUACUACAUAGCACACAAAAAAACUGGAUUCAAUAUCCUGUGAUAAACUAUGAUGGGAAAUAAUAUUGAGAAGGAAUGUAUAUGUAUGUAUAACUAAAUCACUUUGCUGUACAGUGGAAAUUAACACAACAUUGUAAAUCAACUAUACUUCAAUAAAACACAUUUUUUUUUUAAUCCAGUUACUCUGUUUCCAAUGAGACUUUAUAGCUAGGCUGUACUGAAGCUGUAGAAAGUACAAUUGUGAACUUACUCUCAGUAUUUAAGGCACAUCUUAAGUGUGUGCUUAUUAUCAGUAUUUAAGACAUGUCUGCUUAUCCUCACUGUCACCUGUCUGUUCAAAAGAAAAAGUAUCGAAGGGCUAUGCCUUUAUUUGAAAGUCAAAUGUAUUUCUGUAUCUUUACCACAUCAAUUUAUUUAAAGAUUUAAUUCCCCAAAGCCAAAAUGACAAAAUCCACAGCUUAGAGUCAUUUAUUAAAAUUUAAAGCCACAGCUUAAAUUAAGAGAGCUGUUAGGGGACCCUGUAGUUCAUGAUUUGAAGACAAUUAUUUAUUUAUUCUGCAGGAAUAACACUGCUAAUUUUAAAAUGUUCCUUCUUUGCCUUUAAUGUAUAGUAACUGUAAUCAUAGAAUUUUUCUGAAGUCUUUUUCUGCUGUUUGGUGAAUCACAUAGCAGAUAUAAACCCACCCCUUCC